AUGUAUGUAGCUCAGUGGUAGAGCACUUGCUUAGCAUGCAAGAAGCCCUGUGUUUGAUUACCCAGCUUACUA
RNAcentral lists this transfer RNA (72 nucleotides) under Dipodomys ordii (Ord's kangaroo rat). It matches the Rfam family "tRNA". From Rfam's summary of the family: Transfer RNA (tRNA) molecules are approximately 80 nucleotides in length. Their secondary structure includes four short double-helical elements and three loops (D, anti-codon, and T loops). Further hydrogen bonds mediate the characteristic L-shaped molecular structure. tRNAs have two regions of fundamental functional importance: the anti-codon, which is responsible for specific mRNA codon recognition, and the 3' end, to which the tRNAs corresponding amino acid is attached (by aminoacyl-tRNA synthetases). tRNAs cope with the degeneracy of the genetic code in two manners: having more than one tRNA (with a specific anti-codon) for a particular amino acid; and 'wobble' base-pairing, i.e. permitting non-standard base-pairing at the 3rd anti-codon position. The record is from Rfam by way of RNAcentral. Lineage: Eukaryota; Metazoa; Chordata; Mammalia; Rodentia; Heteromyidae.